GUAUGAACGCUUUGAGGAGUAAAACGCUUUGCCGUGGAUUCUUCUUUAUCCAGCGGCUGUCCACCCGUGUUACUCCCCAGCACAGGACAAGUGGCGAAGCGAAGCUGUUCCUUUUCCAUCCACAUCCCGAAUCUUCCGUGUCCUCCCUUCCCUGUGCCUGCCCAGCGAAUGUGAAGGUGUUGAAGAUUCCACACCGUGUGGCAAUGAAAACACAGUCCCAUUAUCUCAGUUUACAGCGUUCAGGGGCACCCAGCCGCGAGCAGUGCAGCCUUACAGGAGUGGCAGGAAGGGCUCCAGGAGGCUCGUGCACAAAUCCGCGGGAGGGAGAGCAGCCGAGGGUGCUGUGUGGUGUGCAUGCUCCCCCUUUACCUGCUGCAGUCUGGCAGCUUGCUCCUGCUCAGUGCCAUUGAGAGCACGGCCUAUCUGCCACCAGCUCCAGGAUCCAGCCAUCCCAGAGCCACAGCAGAAAGGGAAAAAAACUGCCUGGAAACGUAGCUGCUAAAAUGUACCUCAGCCUUGAAGGGAUCCUUUUCAUUAGGAGCCCGUGUCUUCUCCUAAGUAAUUGAUCACCGCGCACCCGGGGACAGCCGAUUCAGAGGGACAUGAAUAGGCACAGCGCCGUGGCCGCGCUGCUGCGGGAGUGCCAGCGGGCUCUGGACGCUGAGCUCCUGCCGGCCCAGGCCGGCACGGGCGAGGCGGAGGAGCGGGAAUACCGGCGGUGCCAAGCUCUGCUUCCUGAGGAGCUGAGGAGCCUUCUGGAGGAGGCGAAGGAAAUGAAGUGGCCCUUUGUGCCGGAGAGGUGGCAGUACAAACAAGACCUGGGCCCAGAAGACAAAACAAACCUGCAAGAUAUGAUCAGCGCCAGGCUCCCUGACUUGCUGGCUUAUCUGAAGGCCUCCAUCCUGGUCAGGGACUGCGGCACGGCCACGGCCGUGGUGUUCCUGCUGGACCGCUUCCUCUACUGGCUCGACGCCUCCUGCGGGCUCCUGCGGGUGGCCAAGGGGCUGCACAGGCUGCACCCCGGCGCUCCCAUCAGCCCGCAGCUGCUCAUCCGCCAGGCUCGCCUCGCCGUCAACGCAGGUAAACUUUUAAAAGCUGAAUAUAUCCUAAGCAGCCUGAUUAAUGACAACGGAGCAACGGGAACCUGGCGAUACGCCGAGGAGAGCGAUCGGAUUCUCGUUCAGGCAGUCUGCCUACAAAUCAGGGGGCAGAUCCUGCAAAAGCUUGGGAUGUGGUAUGAGGCAGCAGAGCUGAUCUGGGCUUCCCUCAUGGGAUACUUCCAACUUCCUCAGCCAGAUAAAAAGGGAAUUGCCACAUCCUUGGGUAUUAUGGCAGAUAUCUUUGCUUCCAUGAAUGAGCAGGAUUAUGCACGCUUCAAAACCAGUGCUGACAUUGACCUGAGCCUGCUGCAAGAGUUCAGCCACCGCUUGUUAUCGGCGGCCGAGGCCUGCAAGCUGGCAGCUGCCUACAGCCAGUACACCCCCCUGUUUGUCCUCACGGCCGUGAACAUCCGUGGCAUGUGUCUGCUGUCCUACAGUCACUCCAAGGACUGUCCCCGGGAAAAGAGAGAGUUCUACUUGUCUGAAGCCAAAGAAUCCUUUGAGGUCGGGCUCCUCACCAAGGAGGAGCAGAGUGCCAUCACCAGCAGGCAGGAGCUGCACAGUUUCAUCAAAGCUGCCUUCUGCCUCGCCACCGUGCACCGAUGGCUCGACGGGGAGAGCCAGGAGCUGCGUGAGGCCACCCAGCUGUGCAGGGAAGCCCUGGGAAAGCUGCACUCCUACAGCACCUCGCUCCCAGGGGAGGGAGAUAAGGGGAUGCUUGCCAAGGAGAUCAUGGCUCUGAUCGCAGCCGUGAAGAAGCGCCUGCGGGUGGGAGGCUUCCCAAAUUCUGACGCCAGCUCUUAUGUCCCAGACAGUUAUAAAGGCUCGGUACAAAAGCCUGUCCUGCACGGGGAAACCAGCUUUGAGAAAAUCCUUGCCAAGCAUUCCCAGCACCACCUGUCAGUGUGCCAAGUGUAUGAAAAAACUUGCAGGAUUCAUAAAACCACACCGGGAGAGAUCCAGGUGGGAGCUUGUAUCACAACCUUAAGAACAGAGACCAAAACCAUGGACACUGUGUGUACUGCUGAAGACAAAGUUCACCAGAGGAGUGGUCCUGUGAAAACCCUGGACUCUCCAACAGCAGGAAGCAGCUCAGAGGGACUCAGUGGCCGAAGAAAUCAAGACAUUGGCUCUGGUGUGAUGAAAAUUUCCUUUGAAGAAGAGAUCGAGCCAUUAGAAAUCAAAAUAAACAGCAAAAAAGACGUUUUCAGCAGAAGGAAAGGCAGGAGCCAAAGCACUACUUCUGAGAACUCUUGGUGCAAGCUGUCCAAAUCCAGUUGCUCUUCCAGCUGGGAGGAGCUGAGCUGUAAUAGCAGCAGAGAGUCUCUCAGGGACGGGCAGCAAGGGGAGGAGGGCUCAGUGGAGGAGCAGUGCUGCAGCACAGAAGCUGACCAGGACGCGCCCUUGUGCUCUUUGCCUCCCAGAGCCUGGCAUCCUGCUCCUCGGGAGCCCCUCCAUGGCUCUGGGGGGUCUCCUCGGCAUUCCUUAGAGGGGUGUGCCCCUCGAGCACGGAGGAUGGUGGAGAAGGAGCCCCUCUGCAGAGAAGAGCUGCGCGAGGGAAGGCACCGUGGAAGGAGCUCCUCAAAAGAGAAAGCAAAGGGCUCGAGCAAUGAGUUUCCUUCCCUCUCCAUCUCUUACUCUGCUCCUACGGGGCAGGAGGAGGAGGAGGAGGAGGAGGAGGAGAAGUCCUUGUCCUGUGCGGAGCUGAGCUGCAGGACCAAGGACAGCAGCAGGGAAGGAGGCGUUGGUCGCUCUGAGUGGCUCCACCCGGGAGAACCUGCAGACAGCACCGAGGAUCCCUCGUUUGAGGCACAGCCCCCACAAAACAGGGGCACCUGUGUACCAUCAACAAACAUCGGGCCGAAAACAGGCGGUGACUCCUCCGUGCGUGGCCGGGUGAGGAAAUCUGCCCUGCUGGGCAGCGGAUCUCUCCCAGUGCCUCAAGUUGACACCCAGGCAGAAACAAUGGAUGGCACUGAAUUUGAGCUCAUCAGCAUGGGAGACUCAGCAAACCAUUAUCCUACAGCACUGGCUCCAAAGCACGAAGCGGCUCCCAGUGUGCCAACAGCUUUGCCCUCCUCCCUGGGAAAGAUAUCCACAGCCAAGCACUUUGACUGUGCCACUACAGAGGAAGAUGAAGAGAAGUCUCAGGGUGUGGUCAGCAGCAAGGGACAGUCCAGUUCCUCUCUGAAUUCAUGGGUCAAAUCGGCAGCGAUGCCCACGGGCUCCCCUGAAGGUUCAGUCCCAAGGGGAAGCGGCUUUGCCUUCACACCCGGCAGAGUGAAGGAAGAGAUCCUGGACGCUCGGUUUCUGAGGGAUGACGAUUACAGGCAGCUUCUGGCAGGGGUGGAGCAUGAUUGGCUUGUCCAGAGAUUGAUGCCUACUGGGAUUUUUAGGAGCAAAGAGCUUCACAAAGCGUACUCUGCUCUUCUUCUGAAAUACUCCAAGAAAUCUGGGCUGUGGACAGGCCAGGAGACAGCUGUGUUCAUCGGGGACUACCUGAACGUGGCCAAGGAAGGCAAGCAGAGAAAUGCCUUCUGGAUACACUUCCUGCACCAAGAAGAAAGCCUGGGAAGGUACGUUGGGAAGGAAUAUAAAGAGGAAAAAGGGCUCCUCCAUCAUUUCAGUGACGUGGAGCGACAAAUGACCGCCCAGUACUACGUGACAGAGUUCAACAAGAGGCUGUAUGAGCAGAAGGUCCCUACCCAAAUCUUUUAUAUCCCCUCUGCAGUACUGCUGAUGCUGGAAGACAAAACUAUAAAAGGGUGUGUGAGUGUGGAGCCCUACAUCCUCGGGGACUUUGUGAAGCUGUCCAACAACACCAAGGUGGUGAAGAAUGAGUACAAAGCCACGGAGUACGGCCUGGCUUACGGCCACUUCUGCUACGAGUUCUCCAACGGAACUGACGUGGUCGUCGACCUUCAAGGCUGGGUGACAGGUAACGGGAAAGGCCUCAUCUACCUCACAGACCCCCAGAUUCAUUCCCUCAGUAGCAGAGACGUCUCACGCUCCAACUUCGGGAAGAAAGGAAUUCACUACUUUUUUAAUGAUCAGCACGUGGAGUGCAACGAGAUCUGUAGCUGCUUGUCCCUGACGAGGCCCUCGGCGGAGCAGCUGGCCUAGACUGGCACAGGUGUCCAGGUGAAAGGCAGAUUCUUGCUGGCUGUGCGUCGUGCUUGCACAUCCAAUUCAGUAAAUCUGAUAGCCGGGGAACAAGCUGAUGCAACUAAAGCCUGCUAACAGGUAGAAUGCUUUCCUCGCUCGUUUGCCAAUAACUAACGACUCUGUGGAGCACUUCAGGCAACUUCUCUUAGAAAAGAUGCAGUGGGAAGGGAGGCCCUCAGUUAUCCCAACAAUACGGGGCUGAGCCAAGCUUGCCUCCCCCCUCUCCCUCGGAGCCGCAGCAUCCCGGGCUGGCAGAGAGCGGGCAUGGGAUGACCCCUCCAGCUGUGGGGCAGCCCCUGCACGCGAGGCAGCACGGCCCCGCUGCCCUAAACACGGCAUCAGCUGCCCCCAGAGCCCAGCUGCUGGAUUUCGGCACAGCUCCUUCCCCAGACGCAGCUAUUCAUGGGGAGCGAGGGGAAAGCCUCACAGCAGCCAGCGCAGAACCGCAGCCCGUGCCGCCCAAUCUGUUCUGCUUGGAAGAACACAGCAGCAGCAGCAGCUUCCUCGGCGUCUCCUUCCCGCUAACCAGAGCCGGGCCAUUCGCAGCGAGGUGUUUGCUUGGUACCUGCUGCUGUCACCUGCUGCCUUGAGGGAAGCCGCGGCACACGGGUGCCUCCCCCAGCUCUGCGGGGAAGCUGGCGGCAGCCUGCUGCUCUCACCCCUCUCUCCCGGGAGUGACACACGCCACCCUCCUUUCUUCCACUUGGAUGAAAUCAUCUCCCCUCUCCCCUGGCUGAGCGGGAGCAGAUGGGGCUGCUGGCCUCCGCAGCCGCCCGCUGCCCCAGCUCGUGUGAGCCCGCUGUGCCUGCCCGCUGCCCCCUCCCGACAGAACCUAAUCCCACUCCCUAAUCCCAAACUUCCCUGCCAAGCUGUUCCUGAGGCACAGAGUGCAUCUUCCGUCAAAGUUGUGAGCAGUUUGUUUAACGCGGGAGCGGAGCGUGGGCAGCACCGAGCAGGGCGCACAGCCCCGCGGGGGCAGGUCCGGCAUGCCGGGGCUUCGCCGGGCGGCACCGCCAGCGCCCAGGGGAGCGGGACGAGGGCAGGACAGGAUCCCCCCGGCAGGCAGCAGGUGCCUUUCCUCCCUCGGUAACAGCCCAAACUGUCGUGCCGGCUACCGGGGCUGCCGUCCCCUCGGAGCGGGACAUCACGUUAAUAGAGGUUGAUUUGCAAACGGCGUCGCCCCCCGCGCCCAGUGCCCCCCUUUGCCUGACUCCCGCUUUUCUGCUCAAUGGCACAGAUGCUGCUUUGUGCUGCCCAGGACCAGGCAGCUAUUAGCAGCAAAUCCAGCGAGGGAAAUUAAUGAAGGCGACUACUAAUAAAAGACAGCUCAGGACAGCCCGACCAACUUGCUCCGAGCGGUCUUCUCGGUGAAAUCCAUCGGCCUGAAGUGUGACAACUCUUCACCCAUCCAUCCCGCAUUUGCUGUCAGCGUCUUCUGUACUGAGAGCCAAAGGUAAAUGAUCGGUAAACUUCCACUGAACUUCCCACCCCCGCCCCCCCUCUCUCUAAUGCUGUUUCCCAAAGAAACAGUUGCCCACGGACCCAGUGACAUCAGGCCCCACCGGACCUUGGUUUCACCAGAGACAAGGACAGGCCCAAUCCCGUAAUUCCCAGUCGCUGGCACAUGAAGCAGAAAAAGCAGCAGCCCCAAAGUUACGAAAAUUAGAGCUUUUUAUUUAUAUUUUAUCACAAGGACAAUCCCUUUGCUCUGCAGCUGUAAAUACAUACUAGAAUAAACUCUGUAAAUUAUACAAAAAAAUACAUAUUUUCCAUGAAAUCUGUCUUUAUAAUAAAUAAAUGUGAACACGUGUGUGGCUGA
This is an RNA transcript of Vidua chalybeata, 6084 nucleotides long. It is a transcript of the gene named alpha kinase 1, with no coding region annotated. The transcript is spliced from 20 exons. Lineage: Eukaryota; Metazoa; Chordata; Aves; Passeriformes; Viduidae. The record is from RefSeq and is a predicted model, not a curated record.